Molecule: long non-coding RNA, 352 nt
Filed under: Homo sapiens (human)
Lineage: Eukaryota; Metazoa; Chordata; Mammalia; Primates; Hominidae
Description: non-protein coding lnc-PGGHG-1:6
Source: RNAcentral
AGUUGCAGGAGGGGGUUUGCGCCGGGUGGAGCUUGCGUGAGGAGCGCUUUUGGAUCGUCCUCCGUGAGUUGGGCGCCAUGGCUGCCUUCUGGGCAGAGUGCAGGGCCUGCCUUAAAUGUUGUGGGGGUUCUGUUCUCAACAAAGGCGUAAGUUGGGAGCGACUGAGCCACUCCAGGAGGAGGUGUGGGCCCACGGCGUGUUGGAGGUGGAGCCACAGGACCUGUCCAUAGGAUGGAAAACCCAAGCAGCAGCUGCACCAGGACCGAGGCAAAGGGACCGCAGUUUAACAGAAAACCCAAAACGAGAGCGAGAAAACGGCCAAACACCCGUGCGAGUGAGACGUCCAUGAGCC